RNAcentral lists this ribosomal RNA (467 nucleotides) under uncultured bacterium. RNAcentral describes it as "bacterial SSU rRNA". It matches the Rfam family "Bacterial small subunit ribosomal RNA", at positions 329 to 794 of the family's 1533-position model. The record is from RNAcentral.
GACCAGACUCCUACGGGAGGCAGCAGUGAGGAAUAUUGGUCAAUGGGCGAGAGCCUGAACCAGCCAAGUCGCGUGAGGGAAGACGGUCCUAUGGAUUGUAAACCUCUUUUGCCGGGGAGCAAAAAGCGGUACGUGUACCGCAUCGAGAGUACCCGGAGAAAAAGCAUCGGCUAACUCCGUGCCAGCAGCCGCGGUAAUACGGAGGAUGCGAGCGUUAUCCGGAUUUAUUGGGUUUAAAGGGUGCGCAGCCGGGGAGUUAAAACUGGGGUAAAUUGUGGGGGCCCACCCCCGACAAGCCGUUGAAACUGGCUUGCUAGAGUGGGCGAGAAGUAUGCGGAAUGCGUGGUGUAGCGGUGAAAUGCAUAGAUAUCACGCAGAACUCCGAUUGCGAAGGCAGCAUACCGGCGCCCAACUGACGCUCAGGCACGAAAGCGUGGGUAUCGAACGGGAUUAGAUACCCCGGUAGA